GAUGAAGAACGCAGCGAAAUGCGAUAAGUAAUGUGAAUUGCAGAAUUCAGUGAAUCAUCGAAUCUUUGAACGCACCUUGCGCCCUUUGGCCAUUCCGAAGGGCAUGCCUGUUUGAGUAUCGUGAACACCUCAACUCUCAUGGCUCGCCAUGAUGAGCUUGGACUUUGGGGGUCUUGCUGGCCUGUGGUCGGCUCCUCUCAAAUGGAUCAGCUUGCCAGUGUUUGGUGGCAUCACAGGUGUGAUAACUAUCUGCGCUUGUGGUUUUCCAUCAGAUAACCUUCAGUGAUGGAGGUUCGCUGGAGCUCAUAAACGUCUCCCCUAAGCGGGGACAGCCCUUUGAAUGUUUGAUCUCAAAUCAGGUAGGACUACCCGCUGAACUUAAGCAUAUCAAUAAGCGGAGGA
RNAcentral lists this unclassified non-coding RNA (402 nucleotides) under soil metagenome. RNAcentral's name for it is "partial contains 5.8S ribosomal RNA, internal transcribed spacer 2, and large subunit ribosomal RNA". The stretch from base 1 to 121 matches the Rfam family "5.8S ribosomal RNA", at positions 35 to 154 of the family's 154-position model. The record is from RNAcentral.